UACAGAGGGUGCGAGCGUUGUUCGGAAUUACUGGGCGUAAAGCGCACGUAGGCGGCUUUGCAAGUUAGAGGUGAAAGCCCGGGGCUCAACUCCGGAAUUGCCUUUAAGACUGCAUCGCUAGAAUUGUGGAGAGGUAAGUGGAAUUCCGAGUGUAGAGGUGAAAUUCGUAGAUAUUCGGAAGAACACCAGUGGCGAAGGCGACUUACUGGACACAUAUUGACGCUGAGGUGCGAAAGCGUGGGGAGCAAACAGG
This 253-nucleotide ribosomal RNA is filed under the name uncultured bacterium. RNAcentral's name for it is "partial 16S ribosomal RNA". It matches the Rfam family "Bacterial small subunit ribosomal RNA", at positions 524 to 776 of the family's 1533-position model. The record is from RNAcentral.